This 459-nucleotide ribosomal RNA is filed under the name uncultured bacterium. Its description in RNAcentral is "partial 16S ribosomal RNA". It matches the Rfam family "Bacterial small subunit ribosomal RNA", at positions 338 to 795 of the family's 1533-position model. The record is from RNAcentral.
CCUACGGGUGGCAGCAGUGAGGCAUAUUGGUCAAUGGCCGAGCGGCUGAACCAGCCAAGUCGCGUGAGGGAAGACGGCCCUACGGGUUGUAAACCUCUUUUGUCGGGGAGCAAAGAGAGUCACGUGUGACUCAUUGAGAGUACCCGAAGAAAAAGCAUCGGCUAACUCCGUUCCAGCAGCCGCGGUAAUACGGAGGCGGCGAGCGUUAUCCGGAUUUAUUGGGUUUAAGGGGUGCGCAGGCGGUCUUGUAAGUCAGCGGUAAAAGCCCGGGGCUAAACCCCGGCCCGCCGUUGAAACUGGCAGUCUCGAGUUGGAGAGAAGUAUGCGGAAGGCGCGGUGUAGCGGUGAAAUGCAUAGAUAUCGCGCAGAACUCCGAUUGCGAAGGCAGCAUGCCGGCUCCACACUGACGCUGAGGCACGAAAGCGUGGGUAUCGAACAGGAUUAGAUACCCUGGUAGUC